UACGUAGGGGGCGAGCGUUGUCCGGAAUUACUGGGCGUAAAGCGCGUGGAGGCGGUGUGGUAAGUCGGAUGUUAAAGGCGUGGGCUCAACCUGCGCAUGCGUUCGAUACUGCCAUGCUGGAGUACCGGAGAGGAAAGUGGAAUUCCCGGUGUAGCGGUGAAAUGCGUAGAUAUCGGGGGGAACACCAGUGGCGAAGGCGGCUUUCUGGCCGGUUACUGACGCUCAAGCGCGAAAGCUGGGGGAGCAAACGGGAUUAGAUACCCCGGUAGUCCCAGCCGUAAACGAUGAAUGCUAGGUGUGGGUGUCGUAGGGCAUCCGUGCCGGAGCGAACGCGAUAAGCAUUCCGCCUGGGGAGUACGGUUGCAAGACUGAA
RNAcentral lists this ribosomal RNA (373 nucleotides) under uncultured bacterium. Its description in RNAcentral is "bacterial SSU rRNA". It matches the Rfam family "Bacterial small subunit ribosomal RNA", at positions 524 to 898 of the family's 1533-position model. The record is from RNAcentral.